RNAcentral lists this ribosomal RNA (637 nucleotides) under uncultured bacterium. Its description in RNAcentral is "bacterial SSU rRNA". It matches the Rfam family "Bacterial small subunit ribosomal RNA", at positions 232 to 883 of the family's 1533-position model. The record is from RNAcentral.
CGCGGCCUAUCAGCUUGUUGGUGAGGUAACGGCUCACCAAGGCCUCGACGGGUAGCUGGUCUGAGAGGAUGUCCAGCCACACUGGGACUGAGACACGGCCCAGACUCCUACGGGAGGCAGCAGUUAGGAAUCUUGCGCAAUGGACGAAAGUCUGACGCAGCGACGCCGCGUGCGGGAUGAAGGCCCUCGGGUUGUAAACCGCUUUCAGCAGGGACGAAAUUGACGGUACCUGCAGAAGAAGCCCCGGCCAACUACGUGCCAGCAGCCGCGGUAAUACGUAGGGGGCUAGCGUUGUCCGGAUUUAUUGGGCGUAAAGAGCUCGUAGGUGGUUCGGUAAGUCGGAUGUGAAAUCUCCAGGCUCAACCUGGAGGGGUCAUUCGAUACUGCCGUGACUAGAGUUCGGUAGAGGAGUGUGGAAUUCCUGGUGGAGCGGUGAAAUGCGCAGAGAUCAGGAGGAACACCCGUAGCGAAGGCGGCACUCUGGGCCGAUACUGACACUGAGGAGCGAAAGCGUGGGGAGCGAACAGGAUUAGAUACCCUGGUAGUCCACGCCGUAAACGUUGGGCACUAGGUGUGGGGUUCUAUCGACGGAUUCCGUGCCGUAGCUAACGCAUUAAGUGCCCCGCCUGGGGAGUAC